CCUACGGGAGGCAGCAGUGAGGAAUAUUGGUCAAUGGGCGGAAGCCUGAACCAGCCAAGUCGCGUGAGGGAUUAAGGCCCUAUGGGUCGUAAACCUCUUUUGUCAGGGAGCAAGGUCGUCCACGUGUGGGCGUAUGGAGAGUACCUGAAGAAAAAGCAUCGGCUAACUCCGUGCCAGCAGCCGCGGUAAUACGGAGGAUGCGAGCGUUACCCGGAUUUAUUGGGUUUAAGGGGUGCGUAGGCGGUACCUUAAGUCGGCGGGAAAAUUGCGGUGCUAACCGCCGUAGAGCCGUUGAAACUGGGGCUCUUGAGUGAGCGAGAGGUAUGCGGAAUGCGUGGUGUAGCGGUGAAAUGCAUAGAUAUCACGCAGAACCCCGAUUGCGAAGGCAGCAUACCGGCGCUCAACUGACGCUGAGGCACGAAAGUGCGGGUAUCGAACAGGAUUAGAUACCCGUGUAGUC
This 460-nucleotide ribosomal RNA is filed under the name uncultured bacterium. RNAcentral describes it as "partial 16S ribosomal RNA". It matches the Rfam family "Bacterial small subunit ribosomal RNA", at positions 338 to 795 of the family's 1533-position model. The record is from RNAcentral.